RNAcentral lists this ribosomal RNA (154 nucleotides) under uncultured Bacteroidota bacterium. RNAcentral describes it as "uncultured Bacteroidetes bacterium partial 16S ribosomal RNA". It matches the Rfam family "Bacterial small subunit ribosomal RNA", at positions 372 to 521 of the family's 1533-position model. Lineage: Bacteria; Pseudomonadati; Bacteroidota. The record is from RNAcentral.
AGGAAGAAAGUCUGAAACCAGCCAUGCCGCGUGGGAAGGAUGAAGGUCCUCUGGAUUGUAAACUUCUUUUAUCUGGGAAGAAAUCCACAGUUUCUACUGUGAUUGACGGUACCAGAUGAAUAAGCACCGGCUAACUCCGUGCCAGCACCGCGGU